RNAcentral lists this long non-coding RNA (487 nucleotides) under Sinocyclocheilus anshuiensis. RNAcentral's name for it is "lncRNA (ENSSANG00000026444.1)". The record is from RNAcentral. Lineage: Eukaryota; Metazoa; Chordata; Actinopteri; Cypriniformes; Cyprinidae.
GUUUUACUCCGGAGAAGGAACCCCGUUUGUCAGAGAAGGAGCCUUCGCAAAGUUCUGCCGUCAUGAGCGAGAACUCCAUCUCCAGCAGUUCCACGUCAGAUGGAGACGAGAUACAGCUAGCCAGGAGCUGGAUGGACUACGACCAGGAUUUGACUCUCUUGCAGACAUGGUAUAAGCUGGAUAAAAACACAAUUCCUGCUGUGUACCGUUUACUUUCAGUCAGCACACAUCACCCUGACUACCUCAGUCGGGAUGGGCAUCGCAGGAAGCUGGGAAGGAAGGUGUGGCGCUCUUCCUGUGUGAAACUGUGGAACGUGCUGUGGCGAUCUGGACCUGAGGCCAUUGGAGAAGAAGCCACCUGCCAUCUGCUUAAAACAGUGUUGGACUGGGAAGUGGAACAGGGUCUUGGAGGAAAGCAGCCUCCGGAGGAGUACAGUCACUGCUAUAAGAGGAUCAUCACUGACCUUCUGUACAAUCUGAAAAAUGA